UCAGGAUGAACGCUAGCGGCAGGCUUAACACGAUGCAAGUCGAGGGGCAUCGGGAGUAGCAAUACUGCCGGCGACCGGCGCAAGGGUGCGUAACGCGUGAGCAACAUGCCCGUAUCAGGGGGAUAAUCCAUGGAAACGUGGUCUAAUACCCCAUAGUAAUUAUGUAAGGCAUCUUAUAUAAUUUAAAGCUUUGGUGGAUACGGAUUGGCUCGCGUGACAUUAGCUGGAUGGUAAGGUAACGGCUUACCAUGGCUACGAUGUCUAGGGGUUCUGAGAGGAAGGUCCCCCACACUGGAACUGAGACACGGUCCAGACUCCUACGGGAGGCAGCAGUGAGGAAUAUUGGACAAUGGAUGGAAAUCUGAUCCAGCCAUGCCGCGUGCCAGGAAGACGGCCCUAUGGGUUGUAAACUGCUUUUGUAUGGGAGCAAUAAGGGCUACGUGUAGUCCGAUGAGAGUACCAUACGAAUAAGCACCGGCUAACUCCGUGCCAGCCGCAGC
RNAcentral lists this ribosomal RNA (500 nucleotides) under uncultured bacterium. Its description in RNAcentral is "bacterial SSU rRNA". It matches the Rfam family "Bacterial small subunit ribosomal RNA", at positions 24 to 518 of the family's 1533-position model. The record is from RNAcentral.